This 462-nucleotide ribosomal RNA is filed under the name Metamycoplasma gateae. RNAcentral's name for it is "bacterial SSU rRNA". It matches the Rfam family "Bacterial small subunit ribosomal RNA", at positions 36 to 494 of the family's 1533-position model. Lineage: Bacteria; Bacillati; Mycoplasmatota; Mycoplasmoidales; Metamycoplasmataceae. The record is from RNAcentral.
CUGGCUGUGUGCCUAUUACAUGCAUGUCGAGCGAGGUUCUUUUGAACCUAGCGGCGAAUGGGUGAGUAACACGUGCUUAAUCUACCCUUUAGAUUGGAAUACCCAAUGGAAACAUUGGCUAAUGCCGGAUACGCAUGGAACCGCAUGGUUCCGUUGUGAAAGGAGCCUCAAAGCUCCGCUAGAGGAUGAGGGUGCGGAACAUUAGUUAGUUGGUAGGGUAAUGGCCUACCAAGACUAUGAUGUUUAGCCGGGUCGAGAGACUGAACGGCCACAUUGGGACUGAGAUACGGCCCAAACUCCUACGGGAGGCAGCAGUAGGGAAUAUUCCACAAUGAGCGAAAGCUUGAUGGAGCGACACAGCGUGCACGAUGAAGGUCUUCGGAUUGUAAAGUGCUGUUAUAGGGAAAGAACACUUGGUUGAGGAAAUGCUUCCAAGCUGACGGUACCCUGUCAGAAAGCGAU